This is a long non-coding RNA of Cyprinus carpio carpio, 1081 nucleotides long. Lineage: Eukaryota; Metazoa; Chordata; Actinopteri; Cypriniformes; Cyprinidae. The record is from Ensembl.
GUUUCCACAAAAAUGUUAAGCAUCAACUGUUAUCAACACUGAUAAUAAUAAUAAAUGUUUCUUGAGCACCGAAUCAGAAUGUUAGAAUGAUUUAAUUCUGAAAUUCAGCUGUGCCAUCACAGGAAUACAUUAAUUAUUUUAAUCAAAUAAAUUCAGCUUUUGGUGAACAUAAGAGACUUAUCUCUAAAAAAAAAAAUCUUACCAACCCCAAACUUUUGAACUGUAGUGUACAUAAAAAAAAAUCAAUAUGUGCAUCCAAUUGACAUUCCAAGCAUGUGAAUAAAAAAAGUCAUUUAUAAAUGUAUACUAUAUAAUUUCGCUCAAUUAUCAUACUGUAAUUGUAAUGGCAUGAAUCUAUUUCCAACUCAAAUAUGGAGUGAGGGCUACAAACAGUCAUAACAUGGUGAGGGUUUCCACAGAGGAUCCACCAAGCUAUACAGCCAGAUCACUCCUUUCCUUUCUUUUCUAAUGUUUACUUUAAUAUUUACAAGUAAAAUGGUAAGUGAUCUAAAACUGCCCAAAACCUGAAAAAAAAGAAAGAAAGAAAAAAAAACAUGCACACACAAACAUACCUUGAGUGUAGGUUUGAUUCUGCCCUGUCUCAGGUCUGUCUAUGAAUUCAUUUUUUGCAUCUCAGGUAGAAUGCAAAAGUGAUGCCCCAUAUCUGAAAGAAAAGACUUUAAGUUAUUAUCAAAAAAUCCUGCAGAAUAGAGCAUGUUCGACAUGUUUUAUCUGUACUUCAGAUGCUGUGCACUGUGUAAAUGUUCAUAUUACUUUGUAUAGAUAGGUCACAGCAGAUGAUAGGUUUAUUUAAAGAAAAUAAAUCUAAGACGUGAAUCUUAGUGCGUACAUUUACAAUGCAUUUUCCAUUUUUAGACAACCUGUACCACCAGAGCCAUUCUUCAUUGUUUCCAUAGGUUUUAUGUCAGAUAUUUUGUCUCAUCUCUGUAGUUUGUAUUCCUGUGUAAUUAAAGUUAUUUACAUGUUCCCGAUUACACUUUGUAUUUGACCAUGAAAAUACAUUUUUACAGAAAUGGAGCAGUACUGUCUUAAUAAAAAGAGGUAUUAAUGUUCAAAAAGC